This is a non-coding RNA of Danio rerio (zebrafish), 117 nucleotides long. The record is from Rfam. Lineage: Eukaryota; Metazoa; Chordata; Actinopteri; Cypriniformes; Danionidae.
AGCCACAGCCAUGUCACCCUGCAGCCCAAGACCGGUUACUCACUGAAGCUAAGCAGGGCUGAGCCUGGUCAGUUCCUGGAUGGGAGACCACUAGGGAACACUAGGUUGCUGUUGGAA